RNAcentral lists this ribosomal RNA (292 nucleotides) under uncultured bacterium. RNAcentral's name for it is "partial 16S ribosomal RNA". It matches the Rfam family "Bacterial small subunit ribosomal RNA", at positions 773 to 1060 of the family's 1533-position model. The record is from RNAcentral.
GUGGAUUAGAUACCCUGGUAGUCCUGGCAGUAAACGGUGCGCGUUUGGUGUGGGGGGAUUCGACAAUCUCCGCGCCGGAGCUAACGCGUUAAACGCGCCGCCUGGGAAAUACGGUCGCAAGAUUAAAACUCAAAGAAAUUGACGGGGGCCCGCACAAGCGGUGGAGUAUGUGGCUUAAUUCGAUGCAACGCGAGGAACCUUACCUGGGCUUGACAUGCAUCGCUAAGGCGGUGAAAGCCGCCGAGUCCCGCAAGGGAUACUUUGCACAGGUGCUGCACGGUUGUCGCCAGCU